AGUGAACGCUGGCGGUAGGCCUAACACAUGCAAGUCGAACGGCAGCACAGCAGUAGCAAUACUGUGGGUGGCGAGUGGCGGACGGGUGAGGAAUACAUCGGAAUCUACCUUUUCGUGGGGGAUAACGUAGGGAAACUUACGCUAAUACCGCAUACGACCUCAGGGUGAAAGUAGGGGAUCGCAAGACCUUACGCGGAUAGAUGAGCCGAUGUCGGAUUAGCAGUUGG
Molecule: ribosomal RNA, 227 nt
Filed under: uncultured bacterium
Lineage: Bacteria
Description: partial 16S ribosomal RNA
Rfam family: Bacterial small subunit ribosomal RNA
Source: RNAcentral